AGCACUUAAAGAGCAUGCAGGAGUAAAGAAAUAGGCCCUUAGAAUUUGUCUGUUGCUACUCACUGAAGGUUAAAGGAAAAGAAAACUUGCAUUUUCAGGAUGUGUGUUUUUAAUGGCUGCAGACCAUGCUGCAUAUGUGCUUAGCUUGAAAGACAGUGGAAGUAUAGAUAUCCCUCAGAGGUCAGCCAGGGAUAUUUUUGAGUUCCUGUGUUUCUCUGUAAAAUUUGGAUUUUUUUUUUUCCUUUAGGAGUGGACGAUAAGGGAAUAAAACAAAGCGAGUUCAAACGACCUGAAAAAAGAGAGGAGGAUGUAGAAACUGGCAUUCAAUGACCUGCCGUCUUGAGAAUGGUGACCGCCCAACCCACCGCAGAUUUAGCGACCUAGAAUGUUAGAGCUGGAAGGGAACAUUCUUGACAUUUUACAGGUGGCGGGAGAAUGGGAAGAUGUAAUGAAGUCUCACAUCUGGGGUUGUCCGGCAGCUUACCCAGAGGCAAAUGGCUCCCAGGUUUCAUCAGCAGCCUUCUUGAAUACUUUCACAGCCACAUCAACAGCAGGAC
Molecule: long non-coding RNA, 557 nt
Organism: Rhinolophus ferrumequinum (greater horseshoe bat)
Lineage: Eukaryota; Metazoa; Chordata; Mammalia; Chiroptera; Rhinolophidae
Exons: 3
Source: RefSeq, a predicted model, not a curated record